RNAcentral lists this ribosomal RNA (552 nucleotides) under uncultured crenarchaeote. Its description in RNAcentral is "bacterial SSU rRNA". It matches the Rfam family "Archaeal small subunit ribosomal RNA", at positions 325 to 879 of the family's 1478-position model. Lineage: Archaea; Thermoproteati; Thermoproteota. The record is from RNAcentral.
AUGGGGUGCAGCAGGCGCGAAACCUCCACAAUGCACGAAAGUGUGAUGGGGCUAUCCCGAGUGCCGUCUGCUGAGGACGGCUUUUCGUCAGUGUAAUGAGCUGGAGGCAAUAAAGGGAGGGCAAGAUUGGUGUCAGCCGCCGCGGUAAAACCAACUCCCUGAGUGGUGGGGACGAUUAUUGGGCUUAAAGCGUUCGUAGCCGGCCUGAUUAGUCCCGCGUUAAAUCCAGCGACCUAAUCGUUGGUCUGCGGGGGAUACGGUCAGGCUUGGGAGCGGGAGAGGUUAGCGGUACUCCAGGGGUAGGGGUGAAAUCCUAUAAUCCCUGGCGGACCACCAGUGGCGAAGGCUGCUAACCAGAACGCGUCCGACGGCGAUGGACGAAAGCUGGGGGAGCGAACCGGAUUAGAUACCCGGGUAGUCCCAGCUGUAAACGAUGCGGGCUAGGUGUUGGGGGGGCUACGAGCCUCUUCAGUGCCGCAGGGAACCGUUAAGCCCGCCGCCUGGGUAGUACGAUCGCAAGAUUGAAACUUAAAGGAAUUGGCGGGGGAGCAC